This 555-nucleotide unclassified non-coding RNA is filed under the name uncultured marine bacterium. RNAcentral describes it as "partial contains 16S ribosomal RNA, 16S-23S ribosomal RNA intergenic spacer, and 23S ribosomal RNA". The stretch from base 417 to 555 matches the Rfam family "Bacterial large subunit ribosomal RNA", at positions 1 to 138 of the family's 2925-position model. The record is from RNAcentral.
UCUAAGGAUGAAUGAAAGUCAAAUUUCAUUCUAAAUAAUAUACAUCGGUAAUGUUGACCGUCCUCAUUUCUCUUCUUAAAGUAAUGUUUCCUUCUUGUAGGGCCGGUAGCUCAGUUGGUUAGAGCACACCCUUGAUAAGGGUGGGGUCGAAAGUUCGAGUCUUUCUCGGCCCACCACACUUAACUGGGGGAUUAGCUCAGCUGGGAGAGCGCCUGAUUUGCAUUCAGGAGGUCAGCGGUUCGAUCCCGCUAUCCUCCACCAGGAAACAUUUAGUUAUAAAAACUGUAAAUAAAUUUAAUAAUUAAUAUCAAUAUCUAUAUCCGAACAUUAGUAAUGUUAUUAGCUAAUGUUCAAAAUAAAAAUUUGAUCACAACAUAGAUAAUUUUUCUUUUAAAAAGAAUUUUUUUCUGUGCAUAAAUCAAGCGUUUAAGGGCGUGUAGUGGAUGCCUUGGCACUGAAAGCCGAUGAAGGACGUGAUAUACUGCGAUAAGUUUCGGGGGAGCUGUAUGUAAGUUUUGAUCCGAAAAUUUCCGAAUGGGGGCAACCAUCACUAGU